This is a long non-coding RNA of Heterocephalus glaber (naked mole-rat), 580 nucleotides long. RefSeq lists it as uncharacterized. Lineage: Eukaryota; Metazoa; Chordata; Mammalia; Rodentia; Bathyergidae. The record is from RefSeq and is a predicted model, not a curated record.
UUGAGUGGCUAUAGCGGUAGUCACUCUGAAAGCUUUUGUUUGUAAGGGUACGCCUACCCUAGCAAGACUGGUUGAGGCAGCGGAGUACUGCGCGCCUUUCCCUGGAAACCAAGUAGAAUUUGUUCCCUGGACGCCUGAUCCAGGGGAAUUGCAGUUCAGAGAAAGUACACGCCGAGUGCGGUACCCCAGGGAAUCUCAUAUCGGACACCCGGAAGAUAUCACUAUUUGGCACUCAAUCAGUUAUUGUCGAACACCGGAUAGAUAUUCCUAUUUGGAACGUAAUUACACACAGUGACCUCUGUUUCUCAAACUUCUGAAAAUACUUGUAGAGGCCUGAGAGGUUGCCAGCACUUUCCCUCCCGAUCCUUCUGUUUCUCUUUAGAAUUACAAAAGGGGAGGAUAGUGAUUGUACCUACCUUAUGAGGAACAAUUGAGGGCAUUCACCAAUCAGACAGUCACGGAGUUCAUCAUGGCAGGGUACCAGCCAGUACGACAAAGGAAGAGGUCCCCACUUGCCACCGGCCUCAUCAGAUCCAGGUCUAGCCCCGAUCUUCGCCCCUUGUCAGUAGGAAGCAGCUCC